This 379-nucleotide unclassified non-coding RNA is filed under the name Canarium oleiferum. RNAcentral's name for it is "partial external transcribed spacer". Lineage: Eukaryota; Viridiplantae; Streptophyta; Magnoliopsida; Sapindales; Burseraceae. The record is from RNAcentral.
GAGACAAGCAUAUGACUACUGGCAGGAUCAACCAGGUAGCAUUCCUUCGGGACGCCGACGCCCGCAUGAGCCCCGCCGAGCCGCGAGGCCGCGGGCUCAAAAGCGGACACGGCAGUCGUUCGCGUCGUUGGACAAAAAUGCAUUGCUUGAUCGGAUGGGGGCCUCCCCAGAGACCGCCCACCCGCAGCACAUAACGUUCCGCAUCCGAGAGCACGAGCAAAGAACCUCAUGGGCCGAGACAGCCACGCAGCUAGGCGAGGCGUGCCAGGAACACGAGGCUUGCCUGAUGUCCACCCCACCACCCGUGAGGGCAUGGGGCGGAGAGAAACAAACGAUCCGUCGAAUUCCCUCCGGUAGGUAAGCAACACAGGAUACCGAA